UCACCAGACUCCUACGGGAGGCAGCAGUGGGGAAUAUUGCACAAUGGGCGCAAGCCUGAUGCAGCCAUGCCGCGUGUAUGAAGAAGGCCUUCGGGUUGUAAAGUACUUUCAGCGGGGAGGAAGGGGUUAAGGUUAAUAACCUUAGCCAUUGACGUUACCCGCAGAAGAAGCACCGGCUAACUCCGUGCCAGCAGCCGCGGUAAUACGGAGGGUGCAAGCGUUAAUCGGAAUUACUGGGCGUAAAGCGCACGCAGGCGGUCUGUCAAGUCGGAUGUGAAAUCCCCGGGCUCAACCUGGGAACUGCAUUCGAAACUGGCAGGCUGGAGUCUUGUAGAGGGGGGUAGAAUUCCAGGUGUAGCGGUGAAAUGCGUAGAGAUCUGGAGGAAUACCGGUGGCGAAGGCGGCCCCCUGGACAAAGACUGACGCUCAGGUGCGAAAGCGUGGGGAGCAAACAGGAUUAGAUACCCUUGUACUG
RNAcentral lists this ribosomal RNA (475 nucleotides) under uncultured bacterium. RNAcentral's name for it is "bacterial SSU rRNA". It matches the Rfam family "Bacterial small subunit ribosomal RNA", at positions 328 to 793 of the family's 1533-position model. The record is from RNAcentral.